Molecule: ribosomal RNA, 673 nt
Filed under: uncultured bacterium
Lineage: Bacteria
Description: bacterial SSU rRNA
Rfam family: Bacterial small subunit ribosomal RNA
Source: RNAcentral
AGAGUUUGAUCAUGGCUCAGGACGAACGCUGGCGGCAUGCCUAACACAUGCAAGUCGAACGAGAAAGUUCCUUCGGGAGCAAUUAAAGUGGCGCACGGGUGAGUAACGCGUAGACAAUCUGCCCUUCAGUCUGGGACAACUUUUCGAAAGGAGAGCUAAUACCGGAUAACAAUGCAUGACACAAGUUGUAUAUUUGAAAGCUUUAUGUGCUGAAGGAGGGGUCUGCGCCCCAUUAGCUAGUUGGUAGGGUAAAGGCUUACCAAGGCAACGAUGGGUAGCGGGUUUGAGAGGACGAUCCGCCACACUGGAACUGAGACACGGUCCAGACUCCUACGGGAGGCAGCAGUGGGGAAUAUUGCACAAUGGAGGAAACUCUGAUGCAGCAAUGUCGCGUGAGUGAAGAAGGCCCUUGGGUCGUAAAGCUCUUUUAUGGGGGAAGAUGAUGACGGUACCCCAAGAAUAAGCACCGGCUAACUAUGUGCCAGCAGCCGCGGUAAUACAUAGGGUGCGAGCGUUGUUCGGAAUUACUGGGCGUAAAGGGCGCGCAGGCGGAAUAGUAAGUCGGAGGUGAAAGCCCGGGGCUCAACCCCGGAGGGUCUUUCGAAACUACUAAUCUAGAGAGGGUCAGGGGCCGGCAGAAUUCCUGGUGUAGAGGUGAAAUUCGUAGAUAUCA